AACCCAUGGUGAGGGCACCUUCUCAGAAAGUCAUUGUAUCUCUCUCAUGCAUCGUAAAGUGUUUCUAAAUCCAUCUACAAGAAAAAAGAGAUAUCAUUACAUAAUUU
This 107-nucleotide small nucleolar RNA is filed under the name Gossypium hirsutum (cotton). Its description in RNAcentral is "Plant small nucleolar RNA R71". It matches the Rfam family "Plant small nucleolar RNA R71". Rfam says of the family: R71 is a member of the C/D box family of snoRNAs containing the C (UGAUGA) and D (CUGA) box motifs. The record is from Rfam by way of RNAcentral. Lineage: Eukaryota; Viridiplantae; Streptophyta; Magnoliopsida; Malvales; Malvaceae.